This 509-nucleotide ribosomal RNA is filed under the name uncultured bacterium. RNAcentral's name for it is "partial 16S ribosomal RNA". The record is from RNAcentral.
GGAGUUAGCCGGUGCUUCUUCUGCGAGUAACGUCACAGAUGUAAGGUAUUAACUUACACCCUUUCCUCCUCGCUGAAAGUGCUUUACAACCCGAAGGCCUUCUUCACACACGCGGCAUGGCUGCAUCAGGGUUUCCCCCAUUGUGCAAUAUUCCCCACUGCUGCCUCCCGUAGGAGUCUGGGCCGUGUCUCAGUCCCAGUGUGGCUGAUCAUCCUCUCAGACCAGCUAGGGAUCGUCGCCUAGGUGAGCCUUUACCUCACCUACUAGCUAAUCCCACCUGGGCUUAUCCAUCAGCGCAAGGCCCGAAGGUCCCUGCUUUCCCCCGUAGGGCGUAUGCGGUAUUAGCAGUCGUUUCCAACUGUUAUCCCCCACAAAUGGGCAAAUUCCCAGGCAUUACUCACCCGUCCGCCGCUCGUCAUCUUCAAAGCAAGCUUUUGAAAUGUUACCGCUCGACUUGCAUGUGUUAGGCCUGCCGCCAGCGUUCAAUCUGAGCCAGGAUCAAACUCUGA